This 403-nucleotide non-coding RNA is filed under the name uncultured fungus. RNAcentral also lists the same sequence under 1 other name. Lineage: Eukaryota; Fungi. The record is from RNAcentral.
AGAGUUAAACAGUACGUGAAAUUGUUGAAAGGGAAACGUUUGAAACCAGUCAUGUUGGCAGAAAAUCAGCCGUCUUUGCUGACUGCCCCGGGCGUGUGGAGCGCAAGCCUACUGUUCGGGUCUAGAAGGUUGAGGUUGGUGUACUUUUCUGUUAGCAGGUCAACAUCAGUUUGGCUCGCCGGACAAAAGUUGGAGGAAUGUGGCUCCUUGUGAGUGUUAUAGCCUCCUUCCCAUACGGUGGGCUGGACUGAGGACUGCAGCUUGUGCCUUUCGGGGCGGGGUGCUUCGUCGCUGUCUGUAACCGAGUGACAAUCUGCGUGCAGAUUGUUACUUGAAUUGCGGGCAAUCGGUGAAUGUUACUACUUCCAAGCUUAGGAUGUUGACUUAAUGGCUUUAAACGACC